This 1039-nucleotide long non-coding RNA is filed under the name Malus domestica (apple). Its description in RNAcentral is "long non-coding RNA (MDOM_LNC019168)". The record is from RNAcentral. Lineage: Eukaryota; Viridiplantae; Streptophyta; Magnoliopsida; Rosales; Rosaceae.
UCUUAUUUCUUUCGAAUUAAGAGGUGCAACUCUAUGACAUAGUCAUAAAGUUCAAACCAUUCAACUGAGACAAUUUAUAAAUCCUUCUCGACUACCUUGGAGCUUGUGGUGUAGAAACUAGGUUGUUAUAUUUGUUGAUUAUCAUCUUGUCUCUCAAAGAACCCUUUCUUUGAGUUCUAUCUCUUGUUCAUUUGCGCUAUCUUAGGCAAAUCCUAGUGUAGGAUUACAAUGAACUACCCAACAAACAACAUUUGUUAGUUGGUUUAUAGAAGUGAUAUCCAAAUGUUAAUUUAAGGAUACCCACAAGAUAAUUUUAAACAAAUAUUGCUUAUUAGCACACAACCCCAAAUCUUAACAUGAUUAAGAUUUGUCUUUCUUUCCAACUACAUCUUAUGGAGUCAUGAAAAUUUUGGAAGAUAUUCUAAUUGACAAUCAUAUUGUCUUAGAAGCAUAUAUCCUAUAUAUGGGUAAUUGAUAACAUCCAACGAACUAAAUCUUAUUCAAGUUCGUUCUUCUCCUAAUGGAGAAAUCCAUUAUCUUUUGAUGCUUCUUUCCUUGAUAUUUUUCAAGGAAACUGUUCUAAAGUGUUAUCUUUCCUUAGAUCAAAUCUAAGGAGGCAAAUACUUUAGACGUCUUACUCAUCAACUUACAUUUCUUGAAUUCUUUGAAACCUUUUGCAAAGUAUUCGGACUUGUGUUUAUUCAAAAUAAACUAUAGUCCAACCGAGAGCGAUCUUCGGUGAAUGUCAUACAACAUGAGUAGUAUUAUGUUGCGGACAAGUGCCACUAACAUCUAAGUGAAUUAACCUCAAUAACUUUGUGAUUCUUUCUUCUUUCCAAAAGAAUAAAGAUUCGAACAUUUCACCUCUAUACAAUUUUAAUAAGAAGGUAUUGGAUCCGGAUCUAACGAUCCAAAGCAUCCAUCUAUGACCAACUCGUAUUUUAUGUUUUUGAGGUAUCACAACUCAGUUGGGAUUAGUCGCUACCUUGCAACCUUUUGGGUUUUAAGCAUCAUUAUAUUCUAAACAGUUAACACUACC